GGGCCCGCACAAGCGGAGGAACAUGUGGUUUAAUUCGAUGAUACGCGAGGAACCUUACCCGGGCUCGAACGAUGGGGGAAUGACCUGGAAACAGGCAGCCGGCAACGGCUCCCAUCGAGGUGCUGCAUGGUUGUCGUCAGCUCGUGCCGUGAGGUGUCGGCUUAAGUGCCAUAACGAGCGCAACCCUUGCCGCCAGUUACCAUCAAGUCAUGUUGGGGACUCUGGCGGGACUGCCGCCGUAAGGUGUGAGGAAGGUGGGGAUGACGUCAAAUCAGCACGGCCCUUACGUCCGGGGCUACACACGUGUUACAAUGGGCGGGACAGAAGGCUGCUACACGGCGACGUGCGGCUAAUCCUCAAACCCGCUCCCAGUUCGGAUUGGAGUCUGCAACCCGACUCCCAUGAAGCUGGAUUCGCUAGUAAUCGCGCAUCAGCCAUGGCG
RNAcentral lists this ribosomal RNA (442 nucleotides) under uncultured Bacteroidota bacterium. RNAcentral's name for it is "bacterial SSU rRNA". It matches the Rfam family "Bacterial small subunit ribosomal RNA", at positions 917 to 1359 of the family's 1533-position model. The record is from RNAcentral. Lineage: Bacteria; Pseudomonadati; Bacteroidota.